This 207-nucleotide ribosomal RNA is filed under the name Plasmodium falciparum (malaria parasite P. falciparum). Its description in RNAcentral is "partial 18S ribosomal RNA". Lineage: Eukaryota; Apicomplexa; Aconoidasida; Haemosporida; Plasmodiidae. The record is from RNAcentral.
UUAAACUGGUUUGGGAAAACCAAAUAUAUUAUAUAUUUUGCUUUGUUCAAAAUAAGGUUUUCUAAUAAAUUAUGUUUUUAUCAGAUAUGACAGAAUCUUUUUUAAAAUCUCUUCAAUAUGCUUUUAUUGCUUUUGAGAGGUUUUGUUACUUUGAGUAAAAUUAAGUGUUCAUAACAGACGGGUAGUCAUGAUUGAGUUCAUUGUGUA